UACGGAAGGGGCAAGCGUUGUUCGGAAUCAUUGGGCGUAAAGGGCGCGUAGGUGGUUCUGUAUGUCUAUCGUGAAAGCGUACGGCUCAACCGUAUUUUGUCGGUAGAAACUGCAGGACCUGAGGCUGGGAGGGGCUGGUGGAAUUCCCUGUGUAGCGGUGAAAUGCGUAGAGAUGGGGGAGAACACUCGUGGCGAAGGCGGCCAGCUAGACCAGUUCUGACACUGAGGCGCGACAGCGUGGGGAGCAAACAGG
Molecule: ribosomal RNA, 253 nt
Filed under: uncultured bacterium
Lineage: Bacteria
Description: partial 16S ribosomal RNA
Rfam family: Bacterial small subunit ribosomal RNA
Source: RNAcentral